UGUACAGAUACAUUCCUGAGGACUCACAGUGGCUGAGUGUUGGAGCUCAGUGGAGAAGGCACUGUGCAUGCUCAAGCAUCCAGGCUUUUACCAUUAUCUCUCUGAAGCUGCUUUCCCUUGUAUCCCUGAAAUGCAGCCGGACAGCUGCUUCUUAUAAAUUGCAGUUGAGAAGAAAACAGCAAGGAGCAAGAGAGACAGAUUUCAGGUCAACUUCUAUGAUUUCAGGGCUCCAUCACAUGAAUAAGACCAGCCUCACUUUAAAAAAGGUUCCCUGGAUGACCAAAAUAUCAAAUUCCUUUAAAAUCGUCCCAAGCCCUUUAACACCACAGAGCCAUUAUUAACUUAUUGCCAGAGACGAUGAAAUAGAAUAUUAUUCCUUGGUUACACAUUGUAUUUGUUGUUUUGUCUUCUGUUUUUAAAGGAAGUAAAGCAACUGCUACAAACCUGCCCACUUUGGAACUA
Phalacrocorax carbo (great cormorant) is the source of this 462-nucleotide non-coding RNA. The record is from RefSeq and is a predicted model, not a curated record. Lineage: Eukaryota; Metazoa; Chordata; Aves; Suliformes; Phalacrocoracidae.